RNAcentral lists this ribosomal RNA (1751 nucleotides) under Strix occidentalis (Spotted owl). RNAcentral's name for it is "SSU rRNA". It matches the Rfam family "Eukaryotic small subunit ribosomal RNA". The record is from RNAcentral. Lineage: Eukaryota; Metazoa; Chordata; Aves; Strigiformes; Strigidae. RNAcentral also lists the same sequence under 1 other name.
CCGGGUUGAUGCUGCCUGUGGAAUAUGCUUGUCUCAGAGCUUAAGCGAUCUGUGUCCAAGUAUGCACGGGCGGUACAGUGAAACUGUGAAUGGCUCCUUAAAUCAGUUACAGUUCCUUUGGUCACUCCUCUUGCACUCUUGGGAUAACUGGUAACUCUAGCACUAAUACAUGUUGAUGAGCGCCAGCCUCCAGGGACAUGUGCAUUUAUCAGACCAAAACUGACCCAGGCCCGCCCGGCAGUUUUGGUGACUCUAGAUGACCUUGAGCUGAUUGCCCGUCCCCACGGUGGCAGUGACCCAUUCAAAUGUCUCCCCUAUCAACUUUCAGUGGUACUGACUGUGCCUACCAUGGUGACCACAGGGGAAUCAGUGUUCAAAUCCAGAGAGGGAACCUGAGAAAUGGCUACAAUGUCCAAGGAAGGCAGCAGACGCACAAAUUACCCCCUCCCAACCCAGGGAGGUAGUGACGAAAAAUAACAAUACAGGACUCUUUUGAGGCCCUGUAAUUCAAAUGAGUGCACUUUACAUCCUUGAGAGAGGAUCUAUUGGAGGGCAAGUCUGCUGCUACCAGCCGUGGUAAUUCCGGCUCCAAUAGCCUAUCUUAAAGUUGCUGCAGUUAAAAAGCUUGUAGUUGGAUCUUGGGAACGAGCUGGCAGUCUGCCGCGAGGCGAGCCACUGCCUGUCCCAGCCCCUGCCUCUUGAAACCCCCUCAAUGCUCUUAGCUGAGUGUCCCGUGGGGCCUGAAGCAUUUUACUUUGAGAAAAUUAGAGUGUUCAAAGCAGGCCGGGCUCCAGCAUACUGCAGCUAGGAAUAAUGGAAUAGGACUCGUAUUUUGCUGGUUUUCGAAAGCGGGACCAUGAUUAAGAGGAAUGGCCACUAGAGAUGAAAUUCUUGGACUAGUGGAAGACGGCCUCGAGUGAAAGCAUUUACCAAGAACGUUUUCAUUAAUCAAGAACAAAAGUUGGAGGUUCAAAGAUGAUCAGAUACUGUCGUAGUUCUGACCAUAAACAAUGCCGACUGGUGAUCUGGCAGCGUUAUUCCCAUGACCCACUGGGCAGCUCCCAGGAAACCCAAGUCUUUGGGUUCCAGGAGAGUAUGGUUGCAGAGCUGAAACUUAGAGGAAUUGACGGAAGGGCACCACCAGGAGUUGGAGCCUGUGGCUUAAUUUGAUUCAACACAGGAAACCUCACCUGGCCCGGACAUGGACUGGGUUGAGAGAUUGAAAGCUCUUCCUCGAUUCCAUGGGUGGUGGUGCAUGGCCCUUCUUAGUUGGUGGAGCAAUUUGGUUAAUUCUGAUAACAAACGAGAUUCUGUCAUGCUAACUAGUUACACAGCGCCCAAGCAGUGGGCAUCCAAGUUCUUACAGGGACGAGUGGUGUUCAGUCACCCAAGAUUGAGCAAUAACAGAUCUGUGAUGCCCUUACAUGUCCAGGACCGCAUUUGUGCUAUGCUGGCUGGCUCAGCUUGUGCCUGCCCUCCACCAGCAGGUGUGGGUAACCCAUUGAACCCCAUUCAUGGUGGGGAUUGGGGAUUGCAAUUCUUGCCCAUGAAUGAGGAAUUCCCAGUAAGUGUGGGUCAUAAGCUCGUGUUGAUGUAGUCCCUGCCCUGCCCGUCGCUACUACUCAUUGAAUGGUUUAGCGAGGUCCUCAGAUCGGCUCCAGUCCUGCUGGCGUGUUGAGCAGACAGUGAAACUUGGCUAUCUAGAGGAAGUAAAAGUAGUAACAAGGUUUUCAUAGGUGAACCUGCAGAAG